RNAcentral lists this ribosomal RNA (254 nucleotides) under uncultured bacterium. RNAcentral's name for it is "partial 16S ribosomal RNA". It matches the Rfam family "Bacterial small subunit ribosomal RNA", at positions 524 to 776 of the family's 1533-position model. The record is from RNAcentral.
CACGUAGGGCGCGAGCGUUGUCCGGAAUUAUUGGGCGUAAAGAGCUCGUAGGCGGCCUGUUGCGUCCGCUGUGAAAGCCCGGGGCUUAACCCCGGGUCGGCAGUGGAUACGGGCAGGCUAGAGGUAGGUAGGGGAGAAUGGAAUUCCCGGUGUAGCGGUGAAAUGCGCAGAUAUCGGGAGGAACACCGGUGGCGAAGGCGGUUCUCUGGGCCUUACCUGACGCUGAGGAGCGAAAGCGUGGGGGAGCGAACAGG